This 446-nucleotide ribosomal RNA is filed under the name uncultured bacterium. RNAcentral describes it as "partial 16S ribosomal RNA". It matches the Rfam family "Bacterial small subunit ribosomal RNA", at positions 330 to 792 of the family's 1533-position model. The record is from RNAcentral.
UCCAGACUCCCUACGGGAGGCAGCAGUGGGGGAUAUUGCACAAUGGGGGGAACCCUGAUGCAGCGACGCCGCGUGGGUGAAGGAGCGUUUCGGCGCGUAAAGCCCUGUCAGCAGGGAAGAAAAUGACGGUACCUGAAGAAGAAGCCCCGGCUAACUACGUGCCAGCAGCCGCGGUAAUACGUAGGGGGCAAGCGUUAUCCGGAUUUACUGGGUGUAAAGGGGGCGCAGACGGCGAUGCAAGCCAGGAGUGAAAGCCCGGGGCCCAACCCCGGGACUGCUCUUGGAACUGCGUGGCUGGAGUGCAGGAGGGGCAGGCGGAAUUCCUGGUGUAGCGGUGAAAUGCGUAGAUAUCAGGAGGAACACCGGUGGCGAAGGCGGCCUGCUGGACUGCAACUGACGUUGAGGCCCGAAAGCGUGGGGAGCAAACAGGAUUAGAUACCCCAGUA